CUGUAUAUAUCAUUGUUCUGAUAAUAGCUAACAUUCUUGAGGGUCUACUGUGGGUCUGGUAGUGUGUCCGAGUAAUAUUCUCAAUGUCAUACCAACUCUGAAGGUAGAUAUUAUGCCUUCUUUAGAGAUGAGGAAACUGAGGCAGAGAAAAGCACCAUGGGGCUCUGAGAGAACACAGGUCUCACUGGAACCAAGGUCUGUCGCCCUCCUGGCCACCACACAGGAUUCUCUGCUGUGGGACACGGUUUACCCUCACAUCCCCAUCACUGUCACUCAGAAGCCUGACUGCAAAGUCCGUCUCUCUCUUCUUCCACCUCUUCUCUUUCUCCUCCCUCUGUUCCUCUCGCAUUCUCAGGAAUCUGUGUGGCCUUGGAAAUGAAGAAUGAAGACUGUCUCCAUUCACACGUAGCCAUCUGCUCUGGAGAAGAAUAGGAGUACACUCCCCCUGGAGGGCAGGGCUGAGUGGGUGGUGUUGAGCCCCUCGGAGGGUCUGGCUGAAUGCCGAAGCCAGUGUAGACAGCUUGCCUGCAGGGGUGUUAUCUGGCAAGUCAGUGCAGUUUCUGGGUUUUUGAGAACUAAAGGUGACCACACAGUUGAGCCUCAAAGAAAGGACACAGUUGAGAAUGAAAAGGGCACUCUUCACUAUUUGCAAUGUCUGAG
This 660-nucleotide long non-coding RNA is filed under the name Marmota monax (woodchuck). The record is from RNAcentral. Lineage: Eukaryota; Metazoa; Chordata; Mammalia; Rodentia; Sciuridae.